AGUCACUGACAUUAGAUACCCCUGUAGUCCAGGGUGUAAACGCUGCAGACUUGGUGUUGGGAACCCUUCGGGGGUGCUCAGUGCCGGAGAGAAGUUGUUAAGCCUGCUGCUUGGGGAGUACGUCCGCAAGGAUGAAACUUAAAGGAAUUGGCGGGGGAGCACCGCAACGGGAGGAGCGUGCGGUUCAAUUGGAUUCAACGCCGGACAACUCACCAGGAGCGACGGUUACAUGAAGGCCAGGCUGAUGACCUUGCCUGAUUUUCCG
RNAcentral lists this ribosomal RNA (265 nucleotides) under uncultured archaeon. RNAcentral describes it as "partial 16S ribosomal RNA". It matches the Rfam family "Archaeal small subunit ribosomal RNA", at positions 718 to 982 of the family's 1478-position model. The record is from RNAcentral.